UACGUAGGUGGCAAGCGUUGUCCGGAUUUAUUGGGUUUAAAGGGUGCGUAGGCGGCCCUGUAAGUCAGUGGUGAAAUGCUCCAGCUUAACUGGAGAGGUGCCAAUGAUACUGCAGGGCUUGAGUACAGAUGAGGUAGGCGGAAUUGACGGUGUAGCGGUGAAAUGCAUAGAUAUCGUCAAGAACACCUAUAGCGAAGGCAGCUUACUGGGCUGUAACUGACGCUGAGGCACGAAAGUGUGGGGAUCAAACAGGAUUAGAAACCCGGGUAGU
This 271-nucleotide ribosomal RNA is filed under the name uncultured bacterium. RNAcentral's name for it is "partial 16S ribosomal RNA". It matches the Rfam family "Bacterial small subunit ribosomal RNA", at positions 524 to 794 of the family's 1533-position model. The record is from RNAcentral.